UACAGAGGUCUCAAGCGUUGUUCGGAUUCAUUGGGCGUAAAGGGUGCGUAGGCGGCGCGGUAAGUCGGGUGUGAAAUCUCGGAGCUUAACUCCGAAACUGCAUUCGAUACUGCCGUGCUUGAGGACUGGAGAGGAGACUGGAAUUUACGGUGUAGCGGUGAAAUGCGUAGAUAUCGUUUGGAACGCCAAUGGUGAAAACAGGUAGCUGGGAGUGUGCCGACGCUGAGACACGAAAGCCAGGGGAGCGAACGGG
This 253-nucleotide ribosomal RNA is filed under the name uncultured bacterium. RNAcentral describes it as "partial 16S ribosomal RNA". It matches the Rfam family "Bacterial small subunit ribosomal RNA", at positions 524 to 776 of the family's 1533-position model. The record is from RNAcentral.